AACGCUAGCUACAGGCUUAACACAUGCAAGUCGAGGGGCAGCGCAGUGUAGCAAUACAUGGGCGGCGACCGGCGCACGGGUGCGUAACGCGUAUCCAACUUUCCCGAUACUCUUGGAUAGCCUUCCGAAAGGGAGAUUAAUACAAGAUGGCGUUUCACUUUCGCAUGUUAUUGAAACUAAAGAUUUAUCGGUAUCGGAUAGGGAUGCGUGACAUUAGGUAGAUGGCGGGGUAACGGCCCACCAUGCCCACGAUGUCUAGGGGUUCUGAGAGGAAGGUCCCCCACACUGGAACUGAGAUACGGUCCAGACUCCUACGGGAGGCAGCAGUGAGGAAUAUUGGUCAAUGGCCGGAAGGCUGAACCAGCCAAGUAGCGUGAAGGAUGAAGGUUCUAUGGAUUGUAAACUUCUUUUAUAUAGGAAUAAAACCUCCCACGUGUGGGAGCUUGUAUGUACUAUAUGAAUAAGCAUCGGCUAACUCCGUGCCAGCAGCCGCGGUAAUACGGAGGAUGCGAGCGUUAUCCGGAUUUAUUGGGCUUAAAGGGAGCGUAGACGGGAUGUUAAGUCAGUUGUGAAAGGCUGCGGCUCAACCGCAGCACUGCAGUUGAUACUGGCGUCCUUGAGUGCGGUUGAGGUGUGUGGAAUUCGUGGUGUAGCGGUGAAAUGCUUAGAUAUCACGAAGAACUCCGAUUG
RNAcentral lists this ribosomal RNA (690 nucleotides) under uncultured Bacteroidales bacterium. RNAcentral's name for it is "bacterial SSU rRNA". It matches the Rfam family "Bacterial small subunit ribosomal RNA", at positions 32 to 715 of the family's 1533-position model. Lineage: Bacteria; Pseudomonadati; Bacteroidota; Bacteroidia; Bacteroidales. The record is from RNAcentral.